Molecule: ribosomal RNA, 520 nt
Filed under: uncultured Archaeospora
Lineage: Eukaryota; Fungi; Glomeromycota; Glomeromycetes; Archaeosporales; Archaeosporaceae
Description: SSU rRNA
Rfam family: Eukaryotic small subunit ribosomal RNA
Source: RNAcentral
AGCAGCCGCGGUAAUUCCAGCUCCAAUAGCGUAUAUUAAAGUUGUUGCAGUUAAAAAGCUCGUAGUUGAAUUUUAGGCCUGGCCAGGCGGUCCGUCUUUGGCGAGUACUGUCUUGUUGUCGGGUCUUCCUUCUGGUGAACCAGUAUGCCCUUUAUUGGGUGUGUUGGGGAGCCAGGACCAUUACCUUGAAAAAAUUAGAGUGUUUAAAGCGGGCUAUUGCUUGAAUAGAUUAGCAUGGAAUAAUAGAAUAGGACGUUGUGGUUCUAUUUUGUUGGUUUCUAGGACCACCGUAAUGAUUAAUAGGGAUAGUUGGGGGCAUUAGUAUUCAAUUGUCAGAGGUGAAAUUCUUGGAUUUAUUGAAGACUAACUAUUGCGAAAGCAUUUGCCAAGGAUGUUUUCAUUAAUCAAGAACGAAAGUUAGGGGAUCGAAGACGAUCAGAUACCGUCGUAGUCUUAACCAUAAACUAUGCCGACUAGGAAUCGGGCGACGUUAUUUAAUGACUCGCUCGGCGCCUUAUGG